RNAcentral lists this transfer RNA (68 nucleotides) under Ictidomys tridecemlineatus (thirteen-lined ground squirrel). Its description in RNAcentral is "Spermophilus tridecemlineatus (thirteen-lined ground squirrel) tRNA". It matches the Rfam family "tRNA". Rfam says of the family: Transfer RNA (tRNA) molecules are approximately 80 nucleotides in length. Their secondary structure includes four short double-helical elements and three loops (D, anti-codon, and T loops). Lineage: Eukaryota; Metazoa; Chordata; Mammalia; Rodentia; Sciuridae. The record is from Rfam by way of RNAcentral.
GUGGUGGCUCAGUGGUAGAGCACUUGCCUAGCAUGUGUGAGACCCUGAGUUGGAUCCUCAGCACCACG